This is a non-coding RNA of Paramuricea clavata, 1344 nucleotides long. NCBI's taxonomy places the organism in Eukaryota, Metazoa, Cnidaria, Anthozoa, Malacalcyonacea, Plexauridae. The record is from the annotation of a GenBank genome assembly.
GUGAUCAUCUUGUAACAAGGUUGAUGAGGACAACAGACUCGCAACAAGUUGUUCCAACAAGUCUGAUAUCGUCUGCACGUAACAAGUUCUUAACAAGUUGAUGACAACAAGCUCGUAGCAACUUGUUACGAACAGCCUGUAUUAGUCUUGUUGGAACAACUUGUAGCAAGUCUGUUACCGUCAUCAACCUUGUAACAAGAUGAUAACAACUUGUUCCAGACUUGUCACAACAACUGGGAACAAGCAGUGCGAACACAUCCUGAUAUCGGCUUCACAACAAUCUUGUUACAACUUGUUUGCAGAUCUCUAACAACUUGCGCGUUUUUACAGGCAAAUAAAUAAGAUUUUGUUUAAUUUUCUUAUUGAAUUGCAAUAUAUAUUUAUAAAUAUCGAUAAUUAAAAUACAGAAUUUUUGUACUCUACCAUAUUCGUACCGGUAAACACCAAACACUAUAUUCUAAAUUAAACCUUUUAGUUCUUCAAUUAACAUCCAAUUAAGUGUUAAUCUACAGUGUCCGCGAAUGAAAUUUAUAGUUUUUAUGCGUGUAAAAUCUAUUUAAUAUAAUGUACAGUGUAAAUUUAACCCCCAGUAAAAAAAUCGUAAUUAUGAUGCGGUUGUAUUUCAAAUUAGUUGGGUUCGUUAUAUUUAUAAAUUGAACAUUAGAAGCGCCUUUUAUGCAUGUGUAAAACUCUCCCUUGUAUAUUCAAACUACUCAUCUUUUCAAAUAUAGUUCAGACACAAAUCACGGCAGCUUUUUGAUGAAUACUACCUACACUGGACCACCACGUUUGAGAUAUCUUUUUCAGGUAGUUCACACACAAACCACGACAGCUUAUUGUAGAAUACUACCUACACUGGACCACCACGUUUGAGAUAUCUUUUUCAGGUAGUUCAGACACAAACCACGACAGCUUAUUGUAGAAUACUACCUACACUGGACCACCACGUUUGAUAUAUCUUUUUCAGGUAGUUCAGACACAAACCACGACAGCUUAUUGUAGAAUACUACCUACACUGGACCACCACGUUUGAGAUAUCUUUUUCAGGUAGUUCAGACAUAAACCACGACAGCUUAUUGUAGAAUACUACCUACACUGGACCACCACGUUUGAGAUAUCUUUUUCAGGAAGUUCAAACACAAACCAUAGCAGCUUAUCGUAUAGAAUCAACUAGUUUAUACAAAGCGUUAUCUAGCAAAGCGACCAGCUCUCGUCUCGCGAUGACAUUCAGUAUAGAUUAAUUUUACAAGAUACAGAUGGAAUCCGAUAAUCAAGAAUGCAACGCCCGCCCAGAAUGUGGCUGGCAGGAAGCUGUGAGAUUCUCUGCUUUGGAAAUGAGUAUCU